UUGUUACAGUUAUUAUAUUUAUUUUUAAUUAACUGUAGGUAUGUACAAUUAUUAAAAUUAAUAUUUUAUACCUUAUUGUUAAUGUUAAAUGAAUAUGUAGUAUCUAUAAUCAGAACUAGUUUAAUUUGAAAAUUAUAAUUGUAAAAUAACAUUUAUUAUUUGAUUGAAAAUUGCUCUAAUUAAUUGUGUACAACCUUUUGAAUUUAAAUGUUUAAGUUAAUUUCUAUUGGGUAUAAGAUGUCAUAAAAGAAAAAUAACAUAUACACAAAUCUUCAUAGCUUCAAGUGCCAGUUAUAUUCAUUGUACAAGAUAAUGAAGUUCCAACUGAAAAAUGUUAUGUUUUUUAUGAUAUUGAAACUCAAGUGAAAAAAAAUACACUUAUUACGCUCUAACUGAAUAUUUAAUUAUAAGUUAGAUUGCUUAUAGUUAAAUACAUUUUGUUUCUUAUUUAGACUGAUCAUUACAAGUCAUUGGCAACAAAUUUCUUGGUGAUAAAAUUGUACCACUUAUGGAACUGGACAACAUACUUGACUUCUCAUUAAUUAAUAAUUGGACAGAAAACAAUAUUCAUUCUCUAGGUUUAAUCAAAAUCACUAUGAAUACCUACAUUCGCCACCUGUAGACUCAUCGAAAUUGUAUUGGUAUUUUCCAGUUUUGAAAUUAAUUUGCAUGAUCUAAUUGAUUUUUAAUUUUUACAUAAACAUUCUGUAGAAUUAAAGUUCACUAAAAAACCAUUAACAUUGACUAUAUAACUGUUAUAGCCACUUGAUUUGUAAUAGUUAAUGCGAUUACCAGUGAUCUACUCAGACCAGACAUAUGAAUAGUCUUGCCUACCACAUCAAAACAUAACCUAGGCGGUUUCACAAGGAGGACACAUCAAUUUUUAGUUGUUUAGGCGCAGGAAUACAAAUUUUUCUCGUAAACAAAGUAUGUUAUACAUAUCAAUUAUGUUUUUUGUAAAUCAUUUAAAUCAAAAUAAUAUUAAUUACUUAGCUGGAAUCCUAAUGGAAUGCAAUCUGAAAUUACCUUUCAUUUGAUCUGGACAUUGAGAAAAUCAACAAUUGCUCAUAACAAAAGAAUAUAGUUAUUUACCCAUUAAAAAAUGAGGGUAAUUAUUUAGUUUAUGUCAAAACAUCUUAGCUUAAAAAAUUACCAGUCAUUUUGACAGUAAGUAAAAUAAAAAUUUGUUUAGAUAAAAUUAUAAGCUUCAAGCAUUUGUAGUAUGAUACAAGGAAAUAUACAUAUUUUUUAAAACUUAAAUAAUAUCAAAUAAUAUUUAUUUAAUGAAAUUGAUAAAUAAAGUUACCUACUCAAUAUUUUGAAAACCCUUUAAUUAGCUCAAUAUUUUGUGAAUAUUAUUUUAUAAGCAACAGAUUAAGGAAACUAGAGCUGAUUACCUUUAAACAUACUGAAAACAAGUUCUAUUUUUUUUAAUAGAAUACAAUUUAAAAUUUAGUUUUACUAUAAUGUGUGUUUUUUGUAUUAAGUGUAGCACCUUUAGUUGGUAUAUUAGAGAAAUUAGUUUUUGAUUUUAAAAGAGGUUUUAUAAAUAAUUGAGAAAAACCAGAAAAAAAAUGAUGGGAGUUUACAAGUUUUGUACAUAAUUUUUAUUUAGUAGAUACUCUGUGGAUUAAAUUUUAAUAUGAAACAGAAAUGCUUGAAAACUUUACAGGGGGUUCAUUNUUUUACAAAUUUUGACUAAAAUUAUGAAUAUUAUGGCCUUUGAAAAUAUGUAUUGCAGAAUUUCACUCUGGAUUGUUUAUUGUUAUAUAUAACCGUUGCACACCUGUCUCCAGUAUCAGCUCCUUUUUCUAUAUAUAUCAUAUAAUCUAUGAUUCAAAAUUAUUUGUUUUAUAAAAUAUGGACCAAAUAAAAUUUAUUGAAUCCUCUAAACUAUUUCAGAUUCAUGAGAAAUAAAUUGUUAUAGUUUAGAGUACCAAUUAACUUCUAAAAAAUGUUUUAUUAAUAUUUUUUAUUUUACUUCAGAAAAGUGAACAUUUAUAAACAUAAAAAAAAAAUAUUUUUAUCUCAAAAUAAAUAACUUAUUGAUUACUUAUUGACUUACUGAUUUAGCCUUAAAAGUGUAUGAUAAAAAGGAAAAAAUAAAACUAUAUAGUCAAUUUAGUUGAAUAUAAUAAUAUAAUUUAUAAAAUUAUAAAUCAAUAGUAUCAUUUAAGUAUUUUUAAGUAUAUUUAAGUUAAGUGAAAAUCAAUAUGUUAACUCUAGAUAAUGAUAUCGUAAAUUAGUAUAAUGCCUACAAAUUCAAGAUUUUCUUUGAAAGGAACUUUUUCUGUUUUACAUGAACAUAUUUAAAAAUAAUUUAACGAAUACUUUAACAAAUACUUGUGUUAAGGAAGUGGUACCAUUUUUAAACUGGAAAAAUGAAUUUAAAUAUUUUAUUAGUUUUUAAAUCGUGUCAUUAAAAUUGCCUAUACAUAACCCCUUAAAUGUUAGUAUUUUUGAACUCAUUACAUUAAUUUUUAUUUUUUAUCUUAGAAGAAUUUUCUUUCUUCUUGCUCUAAAUUUUAUAUGUAGUAUGUUUUCUGAAAUAGAAUUUUACCCGGGUGGUACUGUAAGAAGGUCAUUGAUUUUCUAAGGAGUUUUCAUAAUAAUUGAGAAAAACCAGGAAAAAACAAUGGCCUACUCCUGUCAGUCUUUUUUGUCAUAUCUAAACUUAAAGCAAACUUAAGAAUUUAAUUGUUAUAUAUGUAUUUAUAAUUUGUUUUAUCAAACUAGUUCCUUAUGGUUUAUUUCAAAAUAAUAAGAGUUUUUAUUGUUUAGUAUGUUAUAGGUUUAAAAAUAAAAUAAAAUAAUUUAUUUAUUUGUUUUUAGAUUCAUUUUCUAAUGAUGGUGGUUCUGAAUGGAAGUACCAGAGAACAUUGACUAUUGUACCUACUGGAUAAAAAAAUAAAUACAAUUGAUACACUUGAAACAAGUUUUAAAUUAUAGAAUUUUAAUUUACUUAUUUUCUGUAAACAACUUUUUUACCAGAAAUCAUGUUCCAAUUAAAAGAUGACUUAAGAGAAAUAUUGAGAAUUUAUGGCAAUAAUUUCAUUAAUUUUGGUUUUUUUUAGUAAUUUCGUUUAUUUUAAUAAAAUACUUUGCGUUUCUAGACAAUAGUGAGCAUGCUUUUUAGUUAUUUUUCGAAAUUUGACAUAUUAUAAUAUUUAAUUUUAAUUUGUUUUUUUAUCAAUAAAAUUGAUUUGGCCAAGCAGAAAUGUUUCAAAAUUUUACUAAAAAAAUAAAGUAAAGUGUAAUGUCAAAAAUUGUUUAAUGUAAAAAUCACUGCAAGGACAUGCAAGCAUUAUAAUUAUAAUGGAAUGUAUGAAAAAUAAUUCAAAUUUCUUAUUAUUGUUAAAAUUAUAAACAAAAUAAAAAUAAAACAUAACUGUUAAUAAAAUAUUUGGAAUAUUAUUAAAAAGAAGUAUACCUCCAAAAAAAAAAUUAAAAAUCUAUUUACUUAUAAGUUUUAAUACUUAGAAAUAUGUUUUCCAC
RNAcentral lists this long non-coding RNA (3495 nucleotides) under Cinara cedri. The record is from RNAcentral. Lineage: Eukaryota; Metazoa; Arthropoda; Insecta; Hemiptera; Aphididae.